RNAcentral lists this non-coding RNA (242 nucleotides) under Pseudocoprococcus catus. RNAcentral's name for it is "Coprococcus catus T-box sequence". It matches the Rfam family "T-box leader". From Rfam's summary of the family: Uncharged tRNA acts as the effector for transcription antitermination of genes in the T-box leader family. T-boxes are found upstream of many aminoacyl-tRNA synthetase genes and some amino acid biosynthetic genes usually in Gram-positive bacteria. The record is from RNAcentral. Lineage: Bacteria; Bacillati; Bacillota; Clostridia; Lachnospirales; Lachnospiraceae.
UCAAAGGCAAUGACUGAAAUAAGUAAGCCAUAGUGGAACAUCCAGAGAGCUGCCGGUUGGUGGAAGGCAGAAGGGAAACUAUCGCUGAAUACCUUCACAAGCUGCGCACCGAACGAUUCCAAGUAGGCUGCGACGGAAUGCAACCGUUAGUAUGCACAAGUAUUGACAGAUACUUGAUGAGUACAGUUAUGCGAAUAGCUGUUCAAUUAAGGUGGUACCGCGAGUUAUUCCUCGUCCUUAUA